ACCAAUUCUCGACAAGAUCAAGUGGUUUGACUCAGCAUGAUUAAGAGUCUCACCAUGGUUCGAGUAAUUGGUGUACCGUCUUGACGGAGAUGAAAACUUAUUUGGCUUCUCUUCCU
RNAcentral lists this small RNA (116 nucleotides) under Arabidopsis thaliana (thale cress). RNAcentral describes it as "ATSL289550". Lineage: Eukaryota; Viridiplantae; Streptophyta; Magnoliopsida; Brassicales; Brassicaceae. The record is from RNAcentral.